AUUGAAAAUUCUAUACAGAGCCUGAUAAAAAAGAAAACAAAGCCCUUAAUGAUGCCUGUAGUAUGGAAAGCAGGCAAAUGUCCGCUCCUUUGAGUGCUUAUUCCUACAUGGUGAGACCUUACAGAGCCAACCAAGUGACCCACAAUUACCCGGCACAGCAGAGCUGCACAUGGGCUUCCAUGUGAAUGCACUCAUCUGCACCAGAUACCUGCUGGCAUCAGCAGUCCUUACACACAGCAAAGGAGAGCAUCACACCAGCUUACACCACGCUCUGGGCCUGCAGGUACUGCUGCUUCUUUGUUAGGAAUAAAAAGGAUGAGACCAAAAUUGACCAGUUGCUUUUGGGUUUGACCUUCAUUAUCAAACAGGGAAUGCUGAGUUGCAUAGUGUGCACACUGCAGAAGAUGAGUUAUUUGAACAGAGGAUACCAGAGCCUUGACUGCACUGUGUUAGGGCAGUGACAGCACACGGGGAUAUGCCAGACCCAGAGCAUAGCCCAGGUGCAGAGACUGCAUCAAAGCCCUGAGCAGCUCUGAUAUCCAUUUCCAGAGCUCUGGGCAGAGCGCGGAGAUGUUACGGCCAUUCGGACAGCUGCAAAUUAUUUGUUCAUUCAUUCAUUUUCCGUGGGCAAAAAUCCCAAAUCAACCCGGAAAGAAAACCCACCCUGGGACACCAGCCCAAGCUGUGGGUGUCAAGAUUCGCUGCUGCGGGAGCAGAAAGGCACUUUGUGCAGCCACACACCUCAUAAAGAGAGGACAGGAAAUUUCAUGGGAGCAAAGACAAUGGCCUAAUUUUUUCCUGCCAGUGUCAAAACAAUGCUCUCGAAGAGCCAGAAGCCAUGGUCUGUGAGAACUAAAUUGGUGGUCCCCAUCCGGUUGCUCUGGAAUAACAGCCCUGUCACCACAUGGCACAGAGCAGCAGUGCCAGCGCAGUCCCAUGAGCCACCAAAGGCUGUGCAAGGAGAAGUGGGAGUGGGGCUUCUGGCCCUGUAUUGCUGGGCAGGGCAAUGAUGGGGCAGGGACUGAGCAAGGAUGGCUGUCCCACUCCAGGGAAACCACAGCAAUGGUCAGAAACAGGAGUUUUUGGAAAUGAGGCAUUACCUCUAGGAACCACGGAGCUCAGCAAGUUGUAUCUCGCAUGGAAAGGAGCUGAUUAAAGCAGUAAGUUUGUUGCUGCUUGAUGACAGCAGCUCAAACCCUUCAAUAUCCCACUGCUGGUAGCCAGAGGCAGGAGUUCUGGCAGAACCAAGGCCCUGUGAGGUGACAAAUCUGAAUACCAGUGUGUUGGGACACCAAGCAAGUAGAGAAGUGAGUGAAAACAAAGGCUUUUAAGCAAACUUAUCUUGUUCCCACCCUGUCUGGUAUGAAAGAAGCUAAAGACACAGGGCAAGUUUUCCUCAAAAUGUCACAUAUUUAGUUGAAUCAGUUUAAGGACAGAAGGUUCAGAAAUGAUAGGAAAACUCCACUCAGCCAACUCUAAAGUGUCCCAUCACUGCUGCUGUGAAGUCUCUCCCAGACUGACCAAAGCAAACUGGAUCUCAUGUUAUUCUGCUCCCUGUGCCCACCAGGGCCAUGCAGUGCCACACAGUGCCGCCGGCCGGCAGUGCACCAGCAUGGCAGUGGUGGCCAUACAGAAAUCAGGGUCCAAAUUUCCUGGCACAUGCAAAAACAAACCCAAAGAAUUGGAUCCCAAGGGACAGUUUUAAUGAAGUGGCGGCUCAGCGCCACUCAGAAUACUACAAAAAAUCCCAGAAAGUAGCAUGCAAUUAUGCAUCUACAAACACCAUUUAGGCUGAUGACUCAAAAUAUUCAUUGAUUUGAAAUACAUUGCCUGAAUGCAUUUUGCAUAACAUUGGUGUAUAUUUGUGUGUAUAAUAUUUGUUAGACUUACAAAUACAUGGAGAAGGCACAGGUAUACAUAUCCACUUCUAGGAACGAAUGGCUAAGUGGCAGAGCCAUUCUUUCACAUGGGCAAAGCAAAGGUUUCACUGCUUUUAUUUCAUUUUAAUCUUAUACAAGUAAUGCUUUAGGAAAUGUUCAUUAUCACCAACGCUCUCAUCGUGGUCUCAAGUCUGUAAUGCCACGAAGGAAGCCUCCGCUGCACAGAACUGACUCUACCGGGUUGCUGAAGCUGAAGUUCCCUGAGUAUUCCUCUCCAUCAAAGACAUUAUGAGUAAUAAGAGUAGCUGCAAUUGUGGCUUUUUAGAAAGUGCUCUUAGCAGUGUGUUCUAGAAAGGCCAUUUUAAAGGUCACAUUGCUGAGCCCGUGGCGCGCUGCCUUGGCGAGGUGGUACGAAGUGAGUGCGUUUCAGCUGGCAUCUGGUUUAGACUAUAUUUUCAUCUGUGGAAAUUGAAAAAUUCUUGGAAGAACUCCACAGUCUACAAAAAAAAAAAAUGUUCUUCUUGAAAACAAGUUAUGAGUUAAUGAUAAUUCCACUCGGGGCAGGAAGGAAGGGCUUAGGCUGGACAGCCCCGGGUGGCUGGGAGGACGCUAACCACGGCCCCGCUCCCAUCCCAGCCCUGUGGAAUGGGAUGAGUGCCCCAUGCCAGGAGAUAGAUGGAUUAACCAUACCCCACAGAAGCGAACUGCUUUUAUAAGCACUGUGUAAUUCUGAAUAUGUGAAAACUUUCUGACUGGAGUUCAAAUCCAGCUUUUCCUCUAAUACAUCCCUAGAAGGAACUUCAAAUAUUAAAUCCUGAGAAAUGUAGACGAAACCACGUAAAAGCUGCAGACAUCCUAAAUAUGCACAAUGGGAUCCCUUAUGCUGAAGACACAGUGAAACAUUCAUAACCAUUACAGUAAAACCCAAAUUCUGACUUGUUCCUGCACUUAGCUACGACCGGAUUACAAUUCUGGUUAAAGCAUCCAUCUGCCUAAAAAUAAACAUUUGUAAUGACCUUAAUGAGCUACGGAGUGAUCCUGUGUUGAAGUCUCUUCAUGGGAAAAAAACAUGUCACUCUUUGGAAGGACCUGCUGCAACUCCCACGUGAAGAACUGCCUGUGGUGCUGGAAAUAACCAACACGGAGCUGUAAACUUACGGAGGCAGAUGAUAGAGUCAUAGAAUGGCCUGGGUUGGAAGGCAUCAUCCGAAUCCAACCCAGGUUGGAAGGGCCCUUGCAGCACCCCCAGCCCCACCCCCAACAUGGGCUGGUUGCCCCCCAGCUCAGGCUGACCAGGGCCCAUCCAUGGCCUUGGGCAUCUCCAGGGAUGGGGCAGCACAGCUCUGGACAGCACUGCCAGCACCUCACCACCCUCCCUGCAUGGAUGGAGGAUGGCUCACAUGAAUUGUCACAGGCAGAGGCAGCAGGAGCACUUUGUAGCUCUGAAGCAGUCCCGCCAGGUGCCACGGCUCUGUGCCUGCAAACCAGGCACCUGGAACAGCCCUGCAGGAGAAGGGUGGGAGCAGUGAGGUGUGUGUAUCCCACCGCCCCUCAGCCAGCAGCAUGGGGCACAGGGCAGCCAGUGCUCCGCAGCGGGGCUGGAGGAAGUCCCGCACUCAUAAAUGUUUCAUUGCACUUCUGAAAAACAGACGGCCACUUUUUAGCAGUCUAUGAAACAAUAUUGUAAACAGUUCAACUAUUCUCCCCUCUGGUGCUGGGAUCUGUGAGAACAAUGCGCAUUCAGGGACAGAGCUCUCUGCCUUGGCUGAUCGCUGAUCGCCAGCACAGGCGCGGCGCGACCCACUGCUCCGCUGCCACCGGGAAGGGACAUCGGGGCUGCAUGGACAGACAUGGCUGUAAGACCACCUCUGCUCUGUGCCCUACAUGUGGUACCAACAACUCCCAUUUGGACAACCUGCGGAGCCCUCCACCAACCCCACCGACCACACUGCAGUGCCAAUGGCUGAGCUGAGACUCUCUUCCCAGGAAAAUGUUUGUAAAAAUAAUUUGCUAUAAUUAGAAAAACACUUCAUUGAGAACUCAUUACUGGAAGCCCAUCCUGCAGCUCAGCACUGGGAAGGCCUGGGACACAUUAUGGGUCAGCUGAGAACCACCGCGAUGCCGAAGUUUGAUUCAGAAGAAUUAUUUUGGAGUUCUGGCUCCUCGCAUCCAAUGCACAUGUGACGUUUGUUACAGCAGUGAAAGCACCCUCGAUUGCAGGUCCUGUGCCUGGUGGGGAGCCCAGAUCCAAGCAAGAAGAGCAACCACAACAGCUGGCUGUGAGAGUUCAGCAGAGUUUUGUGCAGUGUCUGCUCAGGUGGUGCUGCUGCGGCUGCUCGAAGCACCACAUCUUUAACACACCCCUACCGAGGGACAGAACGACUCCAGCUCACACUGCUCCUUAAUAUGUAGAAUGGUACCAUCGGCUCUGCUGUUAAAAAGGGAGAUGAUAACAAAAGCAACGCUGCAGCAAAAGCCUCUGAGCCGGGACUUGGAGCUCCUAACCUCCCUUCGGCUCUGGGACCUCUCAAACACAGCAGAGCAGGCUGGGGGCCGAGAGAUGGCGACGCUCUGACCGAAUACAGAGUAAUUAAAAGACCAGUGUGGGCUCCACAGAGAAAGCGUUGC
This is a long non-coding RNA of Gallus gallus (chicken), 4508 nucleotides long. Lineage: Eukaryota; Metazoa; Chordata; Aves; Galliformes; Phasianidae. The record is from Ensembl.